AAAUAAUGAGCUUAAUAGCGCUUAAUUUCGACUUAAGUAGUGGAUUAAUUA
Molecule: transfer RNA, 51 nt
Filed under: Neoscona theis
Lineage: Eukaryota; Metazoa; Arthropoda; Arachnida; Araneae; Araneidae
Description: Neoscona theisi tRNA-Arg
Source: RNAcentral